UGCUUUGGCAGCAACUGAUCACUCAGCGUACAUUGUUCUGUGCAAAUGUCUGUGAUAAGAUUUCGAGCUUGCUUAGCCAUUUCAUCCAGAAACAUGUUACAUAAGGAAAGACUACGAUCUCCGAUGUGAUGUCGCUCUUCUGGGCACAGUUCGUGGGUGCAACUCAUAAAAUGAGUGCAAAGCAGUGGGAAUGCAAUUGAAUAUCUUGAUUGAGAGGGAAGCUCCAAACACUGCUGAAACAUCUUCUCAAAAGCACGACUAUAAAAACAAAAUAUAGAAAGAUCUGAGGUUUCAACCAACAUCUCCACCAAAGAAUCUACCAUUUUUGUGUGGAAGAUGAUUGUGUUCAUCAUUUUGCCUAGCUCCCUGUGGUCUGCCAGUCCAAGAGAAGCUUUAGAGACACUGGUGUAGGCCUGCAAUCUAAACCAAUCUAAUCUCAUUCCUCUGAAGUCAAAUACCUCUCCAUCCUCAACCUGCUUCACACUUAGCGAAGUCAUAGUGUUUACAAAAGAGGACAUGAUGAUUGAUUCAUCCUCUGGGCACACCGAAAGAUUCUGAACAAGUUCAUUUAGGACCACUGCAUCAAAGCCAGACAGAUACUGUACGUAGUAUCUCUGCAUCACAGGUCCGUAUUUUCGCACAUGUGCUCUGAGCUCCUCCAUGUAGAAUAUUAGCUCAGCUAUGUGCUUAUCUAUGAAGUCAUCUGCACUCUUCUUUGGCAUGUUAUCUGCAUGACGAAGAAGCCAAAUGAUUUCAUCACGAGCAAAGGAU
This 771-nucleotide long non-coding RNA is filed under the name Gallus gallus (chicken). The record is from RNAcentral. Lineage: Eukaryota; Metazoa; Chordata; Aves; Galliformes; Phasianidae.